RNAcentral lists this ribosomal RNA (236 nucleotides) under Lacticaseibacillus paracasei. RNAcentral describes it as "Lactobacillus paracasei partial 23S ribosomal RNA". It matches the Rfam family "Bacterial large subunit ribosomal RNA", at positions 2692 to 2925 of the family's 2925-position model. The record is from RNAcentral. Lineage: Bacteria; Bacillati; Bacillota; Bacilli; Lactobacillales; Lactobacillaceae.
CCGGGAUGGACGUUCCGCUGGUGUACCAGUUGUGCCGCCAGGCGCAUCGCUGGGUAGCUAUGAACGGCAGGGAUAAACGCUGAAAGCAUCUAAGUGUGAAGCCCCCCUCGAGAUGAGAUUUCCCAUUCCUAUAUGGAAGUAAGACCCCUGAGAGAUGAUCAGGUAGAUAGGCUGGAAGUGGAAGUGCAGCGAUGCAUGGAGCGGACCAGUACUAAUCGGUCGAGGACUUAACCAAG